UACGGGGGGAGCAAGCGUUGUUCGGAUUUACUGGGCUUAAAGGGUGCGUAGGCGGUGGAGUAAGUCGGAUGUGAAAUACCAUAGCUUAACUAUGGAACUGCACUCGAUACUACUUUGCUAGAGUAAGACAGAGGUGAGUGGAACUGAGGGUGGAGCGGUGAAAUGCGUUGAUAUCCUCAGGAACACCGGUGGCGAAGGCGACUCACUGGGUCUUUACUGACGCUGAGGCGCGAAAGCGUGGGGAGCAAACAGG
Molecule: ribosomal RNA, 253 nt
Filed under: uncultured bacterium
Lineage: Bacteria
Description: partial 16S ribosomal RNA
Rfam family: Bacterial small subunit ribosomal RNA
Source: RNAcentral